AGAGUUUGAUCAUGGCUCAGAGCGAACGCUGGCGGCAGGCUUAACACAUGCAAGUCGAGCGGGCGUAGCAAUACGUCAGCGGCAGACGGGUGAGUAACGCGUGGGAACAUACCUUUUGGUUCGGAACAACCCAGGGAAACUUGGGCUAAUACCGGAUAAGCCCUUACGGGGAAAGAUUUAUCGCCGAAAGAUUGGCCCGCGUCUGAUUAGCUAGUUGGUGAGGUAACGGCUCACCAAGGCGACGAUCAGUAGCUGGUCUGAGAGGAUGAUCAGCCACAUUGGGACUGAGACACGGCCCAAACUCCUACGGGAGGCAGCAGUGGGGAAUAUUGGACAAUGGGGGCAACCCUGAUCCAGCCAUGCCGCGUGAGUGAUGAAGGCCCUAGGGUUGUAAAGCUCUUUUGUGCGGGAAGAUAAUGACGGUACCGCAAGAAUAAGCCCCGGCUAACUUCGUGCCAGCAGCCGCGGUAAUACGAAGGGGGCUAGCGUUGCUCGGAAUCACUGGGCGUAAAGGGUGCGUAGGCGGGUCUUUAAGUCAGGGGUGAAAUCCUGGAGCUCAACUCCAGAACUGCCUUUGAUACUGAAGAUCUUGAGUUCGGGAGAGGUGAGUGGAACUGCGAGUGUAGAGGUGAAAUUCGUAGAUAUUCGCAAGAACACCAGUGGCGAAGGCGGCUCACUGGCCCGAUACUGACGCUGAGGCACGAAAGCGUGGGGAGCAAACAGGAUUAGAUACCCUAGUAGUCC
RNAcentral lists this ribosomal RNA (744 nucleotides) under uncultured bacterium. RNAcentral describes it as "bacterial SSU rRNA". It matches the Rfam family "Bacterial small subunit ribosomal RNA", at positions 8 to 796 of the family's 1533-position model. The record is from RNAcentral.